Prunus avium (sweet cherry) is the source of this 1257-nucleotide non-coding RNA. The record is from RefSeq and is a predicted model, not a curated record. Lineage: Eukaryota; Viridiplantae; Streptophyta; Magnoliopsida; Rosales; Rosaceae.
AUAUUUGCUAAUUUUCGUUAUCCCUGUAGAGUUAGGUUUAGGUCUCUAGUUCCGGUUACGGUUGUAUAUGCUUUAGAAAGUCAAGUGGUCCUAUCCAUACAGAAUUCUUUAGGUUUCUGCAGGUUUCUUCUUCAUCUUUGCAUCUUCGUUUCCUUGCAUUUAGAUUUAGUGUCUCUAUAAAUAGUCCAACACUGGUUAGUCUCUUUGUUCCUUAGUUAAAUGUUGUUCCUAUUGGCUGCCUUAAUCUUCUUUCAUUGAACUCUUGCUUGGUCUGUUAUGGCCCGAUUUGCCUUCAUACUCUAAACAUAACUUUCUUUACUUCUAAUGACAAUCUGACCCCUUUAACUACACUCUUAUCAAGGGUGUUCUCCCCCUUCACCAUCUUUUCUGGUUUUUAAGAAAGAAAAGAGGGAAGGGGCAGUGAUUGUUGUUCUUUCCUACUUCUGCUUUGUUGCUUCUUCAGUUCAUAUCAUAGGGUUGGUCAAUCUGUGUUUCUCUGUUCUGUUUCAUGUCUUGAGUUGGAAUUGCGGUCCUCACAUCGUUUUCAUCCUUGGAGAUUGUUGAUCUCGCCUGGCCUUCAACAAGGGUGCAAGUUGGAAAAUUAUUCAGGCGGUGGUUUCUUUAGCGGUUGAUAAUCUAAGUCCUUUUAUCUGUAAUAGUUCCUUGGACGAGGCAAAUGCAAUUCCAGUAUAUGGUCACCUGUGUCUAAGAAUGCAUGAUGUCCGUCGGAAGCUGCUUGCUUUGUCAUGUGCGCCAGGAUCAGUGGAGUCAAUAUGUUGUGUCGAACAAAUAUCUGGUCUCCUUGUUUUAUUGUCUAUUUAAAUUUCAGUGUUAAGUCUGUUUGGUAUCGUCAAUCUGAACUUGGAUGGUAUUGUGUUCAUCUAUUAUCAUCUUUAAUUCUAUGUAAGUUAUACAUUAUGUUAUCUAUUUAAUUAUCAUGGUACGAUGUUUUGUUUUAUUUAUAUUGAGGUAUUGGGCCGUUUCAUGGAUUUAAUCUGCAAGAUGGUGCUGUUGGGAAACCUCGGAGUAGAAUUCUUAUUAUUGGGAUUUGAAACUUGACACUCAUUCUCCAAUGCAUCUCGCGGAGAAUUCUCAGGUCUAGUCACCCUGCUGAGAAAGCUUUGAGAUUAAGGAGGCCAAAAAAGAUGCAGAUAGGAAACUCCAAGAAGUUGCCUAACCUAUUCCACAUUUCAGUGAACAAAUGAUUAGCAAAUUCAAUAUCAAUGAACAAAGGCGUGAACGAGAAUAGGAGAAACU